Molecule: ribosomal RNA, 808 nt
Filed under: uncultured Verrucomicrobiota bacterium
Lineage: Bacteria; Pseudomonadati; Verrucomicrobiota
Description: bacterial SSU rRNA
Rfam family: Bacterial small subunit ribosomal RNA
Source: RNAcentral
UGCAAGUCGCACGGGAUCAUUUUUGUAGUAAUACUGGAAUGAUUUAGUGGCGCACGGGUGAGUAACACGUGAAUGACAUGCCCUUCAGAGGGGGAUAGCCCAGGGAAACUUGGAUUAAUACCCCAUGGUCUCGCAAGAGUAAAGGUGGCGCAAGCUGCCGCUGAGGGAUUGGUUCGCGCCCUAUCAGCUAGUUGGUGAGGUAACGGCUCACCAAGGCGAUGACGGGUACUUGGUCUGAGAGGACGAUCAGGCACACUGGAACUGAGACACGGUCCAGACACCUACGGGUGGCAGCAGUCGAGAAUAAUUCACAAUGGGGGCAACCCUGAUGGUGCAACGCCGCGUGGAGGAUGAAGGUCUUCGGAUUGUAAACUCCUGUCAUCCGGGAGAAAGACCUGGCUGUGAAUAGCAGACAGGGUUGAUAGUACCGGAAGAGGAAGGGACGGCUAACUUCGUGCCAGCAGCCGCGGUAAUACGAAGGUCCCGAGCGUUGUUCGGAAUCACUGGGCGUAAAGGGAGCGUAGGCGGUUUGGUAAGUCAGAUGUGAAAUCCCGGGGCUCAACCCCGGAACUGCAUCCGAUACUGCCAGACUUGAGCAAUGGAGAGGUAGCUGGAAUUAUCGGUGUAGCAGUGAAAUGCGUAGAUAUCGAUAGGAACACUCGUGGCGAAAGCGAGCUACUGGACAUUUGCUGACGCUGAGGCUCGAAGGCUAGGGGAGCGAAAGGGAUUAGAUACCCCUGUAGUCCUAGCAGUAAACGGUGCACGCUUGGUGUGAGGGGAAUCGACCCCCCUUGUGCCGGAGCUAACG